AUGAACUUUAGAGGUACCUUCCAGCCUCAACUAUUCUGUAAUCAACAGGGAAAACUUCAAAACAAGCAUGGAUUUUUUCAUCGGCUAAGAAACGCAUUGGUUCGGGUGUCUCAUGUAGCAUCUUUCCACUGGGAUGUGCCACAGAAAAACCACUACGAGAGUUACUAUCAUAUUCAGUCAUAUUCAAAGGAUAAAUCAUUUCAGCCUCUCCUGGAUGAAAAUUUGGACAGUGGAAUUUACAGAGGUGCUACAGUUGUAUUUCAUCGGCGACAAGAGAUGGAGGAGACCAUGACUGGAUCAUUGGGUGAUGCUCUGGCAUUAUUCUGUAAUGGGAAACCUGAGUUUGAGCUAAUGCGAGGAGUAAAAAUCAUAAGGCAAAAUACAGCAUCCAUUAGCUGCUUGCACGUGCAAAGACAAAACAUCUUCUUUGAUCCCAAAAGAAUACCUUUUUUUGCAGGAGUCAGACACAUCACGUGGAGUCUUAAGAACUUGAAAACUUCCAGGAAAAAAGGUGCUCCUUGCAUGUUUAGAAGUGUGCCUGCCCCGAGGAGGUCUUACAGCCUUGUUUGGGACUGUACCAAACCCAUUUCACCAGGAGCAUGUCAUCUCAGGAGGCCUGGUUGUGAGCCUGGUUCCUUUGAACACCGCGAAUCCAGGAGGUUCAGCAGGCAAUGCAGUGUUUACAAAACAAGUAAGUGGUGGUCAAGUAGUUUUAUUGGGUGUGCAAACUCCAGAUAAAUGAUAUAAUAUGGGCCUGACUGUUCGUGGGCAUCUGUCUAGAGAUUAUUCCUUAACAAAAGAGUCUGAGAAAUCAUUCAUAUGGUUUGUAUUCACAUCAGGUUUUGGUCACAGACAAAUUCACACAUUCAGCAAUGUAGUUAAUCUCCUAGAUACCCACCAC
Molecule: long non-coding RNA, 901 nt
Filed under: Coturnix japonica (Japanese quail)
Lineage: Eukaryota; Metazoa; Chordata; Aves; Galliformes; Phasianidae
Description: lncRNA (ENSCJPG00005000387.1)
Source: RNAcentral